This is a long non-coding RNA of Mytilus californianus (California mussel), 1064 nucleotides long. RefSeq lists it as uncharacterized. Lineage: Eukaryota; Metazoa; Mollusca; Bivalvia; Mytilida; Mytilidae. The record is from RefSeq and is a predicted model, not a curated record. The transcript has 4 exons.
GUUUGAAGUAUGUCAAAUUUAUAACUUACUAUCGGUACGAGUUUUGCUCAUUGUUAAAGGCCGUAUACAAUGACCUAUAAUUGCUUAAAUUCGCUUCGUUUGAAUAGCUUUCUCAUUGGCAAUCAUAGAACAUCUCUAUAUUUUAUAUUGACAACGCCAUGGCGAAAAUAAGUCUCACUCGAGUACGUCACAUACGAGAAAAAGAGGAUGGUCGUAUGGUUACGACAAUGGGAACAUAUCCAUCGUCAUCUGUGGAACAACUAUUACAUAGCGGUAAACCAAUGUGUGAUGGCGUCCGUAAAAUGUUCGAAGGGAUGACUUAUACUUUACCACUUGGAACCUUUGGUUCAUUUGAAGAAAAACAAAAUGCACAGAAAGUAAAACGUUCACAAUUGGAAAUUAGCCGAUAAGGAUCAAAGAUUUCCUCUGGAGACAGCAAUAUAGAAAUAGAAAGAAUUAGAAUGAUUGCCCAUGAGGCAGCUCUCUACCAGGGACCAAAUGAAGUAGAACAAGCACAUACAGAAAGUGGCGGUGAUACACAGCGAAAACCAAAUGAGAUAUACAGACUACUUACUUCUAAAUGACGUGAAUGAGAAGAACAAAAAAGAAAAGCACAUACAACUUGAAGACAGGUUCACGUUGCAGAAAAAGGUUCAACCAUAUCGAGUGCACCUCAGUCUAUUUUAUUUCAACAACACUAUAAGAUAUAAUGAAUGAGCACAUAUGAAGAGAUUACAAGCGUGCAAUCAAUUUAAAUUCUUUUGUUGUUCAUCGGAAUUCCCCCAUCUUAUAUUAUUUCAGAAUUAAAAGAGAAUUAUGAUCAAAAUAUUAUAUCUUUUAUUCAUAAAAAAUGAAUUGUUAUAGUUAUAUUAUUUUGUACAUAUAUUAGGCCGUUAGUUUUCUCGUUUUAAUUGUUUUACAUUUGUCAUUUCGGGGCCUUUUAUAGCUGACUAUGCGGUAUGGGCUUUGCUCAUUGUUGAAGGCCGUACGGUGACCUAUAUUUGUUAAUUUCUGUGUCAUUUGGUAUAUUGUGGAGAUUUGUCUCAUUGGCAAUCUUAUCAUAU